RNAcentral lists this ribosomal RNA (426 nucleotides) under uncultured archaeon. RNAcentral's name for it is "bacterial SSU rRNA". It matches the Rfam family "Archaeal small subunit ribosomal RNA", at positions 474 to 903 of the family's 1478-position model. The record is from RNAcentral.
UACCUGCAGCUCGAGUGGUAACCGCUAUUAUUGGGCCUAAAGCGUCCGUAGCCGGUUUGGUAAAUAUCUGGGUAAAUCGUGAGGCUUAACUUCACGAAUUUCGGAUAGACUGCCAGACUUGGGAUCGGGGGAGGUCAGAGGUACUCCAGGGGGUAGCGGUGAAAUGUUGUAAUCCUUGGAGGACCACCGGUAGCGAAGGCGUCUGACUAGAACGAGUCCGACGGUGAGGGACGAAGCCCAGGGGCGCAAACCGGAUUAGAUACCCGGGUAGUCCAGGGUGUAACAAUGUGGGCUUUGUAUUGGAGGUCCCACGUGGGCGUCCAGUGCAGAGAGAGUUGUAAGCCACCGCCUGGGAAGUCGGUCGCAAGGCUGAAACUUAAAGGAAUUGGGCGGGGAGCACAGACGAACGGGAGGAGCGUGCGGUUU